This 243-nucleotide ribosomal RNA is filed under the name uncultured bacterium. Its description in RNAcentral is "partial 16S ribosomal RNA". It matches the Rfam family "Bacterial small subunit ribosomal RNA", at positions 524 to 762 of the family's 1533-position model. The record is from RNAcentral.
UACGUAGGUGGCGAGCGUUUGUCCGGAAUCAUUGGGCGUAAAGAGCGCGUAGGCGGCCAGAUAAGUCCGGUGUGAAAGUCAAAGGCUCAACCUUUGAAUGCCGCUGGAAACUGUCUGGCUAGAGUCCGGGAGGGGCGAGUGGAAUUCCUGGUGUAGCGGUGAAAUGCGCAGAUAUCAGGAGGAACACCAAUGGCGAAGGCAGCUCGCUGGAACGGUACUGACGCCUGGAGGCGCGAAAAGCGU